This 450-nucleotide ribosomal RNA is filed under the name uncultured bacterium. RNAcentral's name for it is "partial 16S ribosomal RNA". It matches the Rfam family "Bacterial small subunit ribosomal RNA", at positions 354 to 796 of the family's 1533-position model. The record is from RNAcentral.
GUGGGGAAUAUUGGACAAUGGGCGAAAGCCUGAUCCAGCCAUGCCGCGUGUGUGAAGAAGGUCUUCGGAUUGUAAAGCACUUUAAGUUGGGAGGAAGGGCAGUAAGUUAAUACCUUGCUGUUUUGACGUUACCGACAGAAUAAGCACCGGCUAACUUCGUGCCAGCAGCCGCGGUAAUACGAAGGGUGCAAGCGUUAAUCGGAAUUACUGGGCGUAAAGCGCGCGUAGGUGGUUUUGUAAGUUGGAGGUGAAAUCCCCGGGCUCAACCUGGGAACUGCUUUCAAAACUGCUGAGCUAGAGUACGGUAGAGGGUGGUGGAAUUUCCUGUGUAGCGGUGAAAUGCGUAGAUAUAGGAAGGAACACCAGUGGCGAAGGCGACUACCUGGACUGAUACUGACACUGAGGUGCGAAAGCGUGGGGAGCAAACAGGAUUAGAAACCCGGGUAGUCC